GAUGAACGCUGGCGGCGUGCCUAAUACAUGCAAAUCGAGCGAACGGACGAGAAGCUUGCUUUUCUGAUGUUAGCGGCGGACGGGUGAGUAACACGUGGAUAACCUACCUAUAAGACUGGGAUAACUUCGGGAAACCGGAGCUAAUACCGGAUAAUAUUUUGAACCGCAUGGUUCAAAAGUGAAAGACGGUCUUGCUGUCACUUAUAGAUGGAUCCGCGCUGCAUUAGCUAGUUGGUAAGGUAACGGCUUACCAAGGCAACGAUGCAUAGCCGACCUGAGAGGGUGAUCGGCCACACUGGAACUGAGACACGGUCCAGACUCCUACGGGAGGCAGCAGUAGGGAAUCUUCCGCAAUGGGCGAAAGCCUGACGGAGCAACGCCGCGUGAGUGAUGAAGGUCUUCGGAUCGUAAAACUCUGUUAUUAGGGAAGAACAUAUGUGUAGGUAACUGUGCACAUCUUGACGGUACCUAAUCAGGAAGCCACGGCUAACUACGUG
This 497-nucleotide ribosomal RNA is filed under the name uncultured bacterium. RNAcentral describes it as "partial 16S ribosomal RNA". It matches the Rfam family "Bacterial small subunit ribosomal RNA", at positions 28 to 507 of the family's 1533-position model. The record is from RNAcentral.